CCUACGGGUGGCAGCAGUGGGGAAUAUUGGACAAUGGGGGAAACCCUGAUCCUGCGACGCCGCGUGAGUGAAGAAGUAUUUCGGUACGUAAAGCUCCAUCAGCAGGGAAGAAAAUGACGGUACCUGACUAAGAAGCCCCGGAUAACUACGUGCCAGCAGCCGCGGUAACACGGAGGGGGCAAGCGUUAUCCGGAUUUACGGGGUGUAAAGGGAGCGUAGACGGCAGCGCAAGUCUGGAGUGAAAUGCCGGGGCCCAACCCCGGAACUGCUUUGGAAACUGUUAAGCUGGAGUGCAGGAGAGGUAAGCGGAAUUCCUGGUGUAGCGGUGAAAUACGUAGAGAUCAGGAGGAACACCGGCGGCGAAGGCGGCUUACUGGACUGUAACUGACGUUGAGGCUCGAAGGCGUGGGGAGCAAACAGGAUUAGAUACCCUUGUAGUC
Molecule: ribosomal RNA, 440 nt
Filed under: uncultured bacterium
Lineage: Bacteria
Description: partial 16S ribosomal RNA
Rfam family: Bacterial small subunit ribosomal RNA
Source: RNAcentral